GAUGGAGGAAAGGAAGUGCUGUCCAUGCACCAGAUUCUCCUGUACUUGUUAAGGUGCAGCAAAGCCCUGGUGCCCGAGGAGGAGAUUGCCAAUAUGCUUCAGUGGGAGGAGCUGGAGUGGCAGAAAUAUGCAGAAGAAUGCAAAGGCAUGAUUGUUACCAACCCUGGGACGAAACCAAGCUCUGUCCGUAUCGAUCAACUGGAUCGUGAACAGUUCAACCCCGAUGUGAUUACUUUUCCGAUUAUCGUCCACUUUGGGAUACGCCCUGCACAGUUGAGUUAUGCAGGAGACCCACAGUAAGAUAUUUCUCAGUGUUUGUCUUAGCCAAUUUCACCUUCUACUAACAGCCAAAUUAGCAGAGAAAUACCUUUUAGUGGAUGUUUCCUUUUUAAAAAUUAAGACCUGAAAUGAGCCAUACUUCUAGUUUAGAUUAUCCAAAUGAAACAAUUUUGGUAGCUCCUGAAGAAUUAUUUUCUCUACAUAUUUGAGUGCAAGAAACUAUUCAAUAGAAUAUUUUUGGCAAACUUGGUCAACAUAAGUCCUUGUAUGUUUUUAAACUUUAAGGAACUUUUUCUUUAUUCAUCCUUAUAAUAAUAAUUAUUAUUUUUUAUUUUUUCAGUGCCCUCUAGAGGAAAGUAGCACAUAUUGGUUCCUAGCACUGCCGAAUUUAUGCAGAGUUCUCUUUUUGGGGGCAUCUUAAGAGUUCAAGAUCAC
Molecule: small RNA, 714 nt
Filed under: Pongo abelii (Sumatran orangutan)
Lineage: Eukaryota; Metazoa; Chordata; Mammalia; Primates; Hominidae
Description: retained intron
Source: RNAcentral